AGGGGCUUAGGAUAGAGUUUAGACCAGAGGCCUUCAAAGCCUUAAGCGGGAGUUAAAAUCCCCCAGCCCCUG
RNAcentral lists this transfer RNA (72 nucleotides) under Trimma caesiura (Caesiura dwarfgoby). RNAcentral's name for it is "tRNA-Trp". It matches the Rfam family "tRNA". Rfam says of the family: Transfer RNA (tRNA) molecules are approximately 80 nucleotides in length. The record is from RNAcentral. Lineage: Eukaryota; Metazoa; Chordata; Actinopteri; Gobiiformes; Gobiidae.